This 81-nucleotide transfer RNA is filed under the name Treponema sp. RNAcentral describes it as "tRNA-Leu". It matches the Rfam family "tRNA". Rfam says of the family: Transfer RNA (tRNA) molecules are approximately 80 nucleotides in length. Their secondary structure includes four short double-helical elements and three loops (D, anti-codon, and T loops). Further hydrogen bonds mediate the characteristic L-shaped molecular structure. tRNAs have two regions of fundamental functional importance: the anti-codon, which is responsible for specific mRNA codon recognition, and the 3' end, to which the tRNAs corresponding amino acid is attached (by aminoacyl-tRNA synthetases). tRNAs cope with the degeneracy of the genetic code in two manners: having more than one tRNA (with a specific anti-codon) for a particular amino acid; and 'wobble' base-pairing, i.e. permitting non-standard base-pairing at the 3rd anti-codon position. Lineage: Bacteria; Pseudomonadati; Spirochaetota; Spirochaetia; Treponematales; Treponemataceae. The record is from RNAcentral.
GCGAGAGUGGUGAAACUGGUAGACACGCCAGACUUAGGAUCUGGUGCCCCCGGCAUAAGGGUUCGAGUCCCUUCUCUCGCA